Saccostrea cuccullata (small rock oyster) is the source of this 512-nucleotide long non-coding RNA. RefSeq lists it as uncharacterized. NCBI's taxonomy places the organism in Eukaryota, Metazoa, Mollusca, Bivalvia, Ostreida, Ostreidae. The record is from RefSeq and is a predicted model, not a curated record. The transcript has 3 exons.
GAAAGAUUUGACCCCACGCUUAUGUUUUUCAGAAAAGAUAUCCACUGAACAAAUCAUCUGAAAACUAAGGCUAAUAGGGGAGGAUGAAGAAUACUUCUGUUAAAAGGUCAAUCCAACUUGAACUUGAAGUGCAAGUGGGUCUUCAAAAAUGUGGACCACUCAAGGACUUUUCUGUUGGUUGAUGAUGGACUACAAACUGAAUAUUUAACAAAAAAAUCCACUUUGGUGCUUAUUGGCUACUAAUGAUGUGAACUUGUGCAUUUCUUAUAACAAGUACUUUUACAUUUCCUUGAUGAUACUAGACUUGUGUAUACCAAAUUCAGGUUUAGUUGAUUGAUUGAAGUUCUAAGUUCCUCUCGCAACAUUAUAUCUCUCAUGUAUGAGACAUCAUUAAAUGCAGACAUUUUCUCUGUCCUCCUGUUGUGACAUGAGAGCUCGGACUUAGUUGUAAAAAUAUUUAUGAUGCAAGAGAAAAUAAAUGGCCAAGCCAAUGUUUGUAAAUGUUGAUAAUA